Molecule: ribosomal RNA, 311 nt
Filed under: Phorinia flava
Lineage: Eukaryota; Metazoa; Arthropoda; Insecta; Diptera; Tachinidae
Description: partial 12S rRNA
Source: RNAcentral
UAAGGUAGUAUUAGUUAUGUUCUUGAAACUUAAAAAAUUUGGCGGUAUUUUAGUCUAUUCAGAGGAACUUGUUUUAUAAUCGAUAAUCCACGAUGGACCUUACUUAAAUUUGUAAUCAGUUUAUAUAUCGUUGUUAUUAGAAUAUUUUAUAAGAAUUUUAAUUUUCAUAAUUUUUUAUAAAAAAAUAUAUCAGAUCAAGGUGUAGCUUAUAUUUAAGUAAAAAUGAGUUACAAUAAAUUUAUUUAUAUGAAUAUAAAUUUGAAAUAUUUAUUGAAGGUGGAUUUGAUAGUAAAAUUAUAAAGAAAAAUAAU